Molecule: ribosomal RNA, 253 nt
Filed under: uncultured bacterium
Lineage: Bacteria
Description: partial 16S ribosomal RNA
Rfam family: Bacterial small subunit ribosomal RNA
Source: RNAcentral
UACGUAGGUGGCAAGCGUUGUCCGGAUUUACUGGGCGUAAAGGGCGUGCAGGCGGUUUGUUAAGUUCAGGGUGAAAGCUCCCGGCUCAACUGGGAGAGGUCCUUGGAUACUGGCAGACUUGAGGAGGGUAGAGGAGAGUGGAAUUCCCGGUGUAGUGGUGAUAUGCGUAGAUAUCGGGAGGAACACCAAUAGCGAAGGCAGCUCGCUGGGACGUUACUGACACUGAGGCGCGAAAGCGUGGGGAGCGAACAGG